GCCGAUGUAGCUCACCUGGACAGAGCGUGCGCCUCGUAAGCGCAAGAACCCGGUUCGAGUCCGGGCUUCGGCU
RNAcentral lists this transfer RNA (73 nucleotides) under Actinoplanes sp. ATCC 53533. It matches the Rfam family "tRNA". From Rfam's summary of the family: Transfer RNA (tRNA) molecules are approximately 80 nucleotides in length. Their secondary structure includes four short double-helical elements and three loops (D, anti-codon, and T loops). Lineage: Bacteria; Bacillati; Actinomycetota; Actinomycetes; Micromonosporales; Micromonosporaceae. The record is from Rfam by way of RNAcentral.